RNAcentral lists this ribosomal RNA (631 nucleotides) under Bacillus sp. (in: firmicutes). RNAcentral describes it as "bacterial SSU rRNA". It matches the Rfam family "Bacterial small subunit ribosomal RNA", at positions 51 to 661 of the family's 1533-position model. The record is from RNAcentral. Lineage: Bacteria; Bacillati; Bacillota; Bacilli; Caryophanales; Bacillaceae.
AUACAUGCAAGUCGAGCGGAUUGAUGGGAGCUUGCUCCCUGCAAAUCAGCGGCGGACGGGUGAGUAACACGUGGGUAACCUGCCUGGUAAGACUGGGAUAACUCCGGGAAACCGGGGCUAAUACCGGAUAGUUCUUUUCCUCGCAUGAGGAAAAGUGGAAAGGCGGCUUCGGCUGCCACUUACAGAUGGACCCGCGGCGCAUUAGCUAGUUGGUGAGGUAACGGCUCACCAAGGCAACGAUGCGUAGCCGACCUGAGAGGGUGAUCGGCCACACUGGGACUGAGACACGGCCCAGACUCCUACGGGAGGCAGCAGUAGGGAAUCUUCCGCAAUGGACGAAAGUCUGACGGAGCAACGCCGCGUGAGUGAUGAAGGUUUUCGGAUCGUAAAGCUCUGUUGUUAGGGAAGAACAAGUGCCGUUCGAAUAGGGCGGCACCUUGACGGUACCUAACCAGAAAGCCACGGCUAACUACGUGCCAGCACCCGCGGUAAUACGUAGGUGGCAAGCGUUGUCCAGAAUUAUUGGGCGUAAAGCGCGCGCAGGCGGUCUCUUAAGUCUGAUGUGAAAGCCCACGGCUCACCCGUGGAGGGUCAUUGGAAACUGGGGGGACUUGAGUACAGAAGAGAAAGU